GAGGGAGGCAUUCCUGGCUGACGGUCCACACAGUGGAGGAGGGAUGAGAGAUGAGACCUAAGGCAAUAAGAAGGUUGUGAAUGCAGACAUAUCUUCUAAACUUUCCUCGGAGGGCUGUGGGGAGCCACAACAGGUUGCUCAGAGGGCCCGACGGCAUCAGGUUGGUCUCAGGGAUCGUCAGUGUGACUGCGGUGGGGAGGAGGCCCAGGAGUGGACAGGAGUGGAGGCGGUACAGGCCAUGGUGAGGAGACGUGGAGAUGGGAGCCCACCCACCCGGGCUCCUUCGCUGUGCGUGGGUGGGGCUGGAGGGUGUCCAGACACACAGGUUCCCUUGACCCCUCCUCCCCCUCAGCUACAGUGGUUGUGGGCUGGGGAGAGUAGCAGGUUUCCCUUCCUGAACGGCUAUCAUCCCCAGCCCGGCUCAGGCCGAGUCCAGCUCCAGCCCCAGUGGCUAAUCCUGGUGACACUGGGUCCUGAGGCCGGGGCGGGGCAGCCGGGCAGCUGGCCUCAAUUAGCCGGGGAGCCGGGUCUGGACAGUGUCAUUAGGAGAAAACCAGAGCCUGGCCAUAAACUCUAAUGAAUGCAUUAAUGGAAGGCUUGUGCGCCUCAAAGGGGAAAAAAAAAAAGCGGGUCUAAAUAAAGUUAUUAACACAGCCCACCUGUGUUCGGCUCUCGGCCUAUAUUGUUCAAAUAGCCCAUUAACUCCUGAAGCAUCCAGUCUUGAAAGCAAGCCCUGCCUCUCUGAAGCAGGCGUUUAACUGCGUUCAUAUAAUUCAAUUAGAUCCCGCAGUCGUGGUCCAAAGGCAUUCUCUGGGCUUUCAUCUCGGUAGCCUGGGAGAGAGAUGGGCCCGUGCACCUGUCCACAGAGAGCCUCCAUGCAGCCGUACCUCCUGGGCCGGCCCUGGCACCGCCAGCUCCUGAGUUCGCCCUGCCCCUCGGACGCCGGCAGGGCCAGGGCCGUCGGGGCCACGGCUUAUCCAUCAUUGCAAAGAUCUCUCUGAGGCAUGGAGCGGAGGCAGCCCUGCCCAGAGGGGUUGGAAAAUGAGCGGCAUAUGGGGCCCUCAGUCCCAGGACCUUCUUGGCUUGGCUCCCGGGGAAGGGCGUGGGCUUCUUGGUCUGGAAACCGCCCAGGGAAGGCCUCUGGGGAGGCAAAGGCACACGGCUUCAGAAAAAUGGUACAUCUCUGUGGCUUUGGUGACCAGGUCUGCCUUUCCGGGCUCUUCGGAUUCCCCCAUUUUCCCCCAGCCCCGAGACCAACUUUGGGGAGAGGGGAAGCUCACACCUCAGAGAUCCAGACACCUGCCGCGGUGCUGGGGAGGGGAUGCUAGUGAAGGUGGGAAUGGUGUUUCUAAGCAGCCCUGGAAGGUGAGCAAAUUCCGGUACCUCUGUAUGGUCUCAGGAACCUGCAUCCUUGCUCCUCUGCAUUCCCUUCCUCCGAGUGACGAGGGGCUGUGAACUCUCCGACCUGCCCAGGUGGAAUUCUGAGAUCGUCAGAAGUCCCUCCUUUGAGCCUCAGUUCCAUGAGUAUCAAACUGCUGGGGAGACUUUGGGGGUGGGGGAAGCAACAAGUUUGAGCCAAGAACCCAUGAUUGAAAUUCUCCACCAAUAAAUUCCUCCCAGCUGA
Molecule: long non-coding RNA, 1624 nt
Organism: Bos taurus (domestic cattle)
Lineage: Eukaryota; Metazoa; Chordata; Mammalia; Artiodactyla; Bovidae
Source: Ensembl